AUGUUGUCAGAGUGUGUAUCUCCAACUGUAAGUAGCUCAUUCACCGAGCGUUGUCAGACUAGCUGCAUGCAGGUAGUAAGUAAGCGCAGUGUUCCCAGAGAGAGUGUCUCCAGUCCCAGUCUUGUCCUCAAAGCGCUUGGAGACUCAGUGUAUCCACAGAGAGAGGCUUGCAACUGGAAUAGCAAAGCAUUGUUUCCAGAGCAUUGUCUCCAGCCACAAGGAUCUCAUCCACAGAGUGCUCUGAGUCUAGAAGCGCUCCCCAGAACAGACUAUAAUAACUGGAAUGUUCUCAGAGACUGUUGCCAGUCCCAAAUGUUUCGUCUUUGAAGUGGGAGGCAAUGUUUUUUCAUAAAGGAAACUUAUGAUGUUCAUAGAUUGCAUGUUCUCCCCCAGCGGGUUAUCUAAGUGUCCUG
RNAcentral lists this long non-coding RNA (413 nucleotides) under Monodelphis domestica (gray short-tailed opossum). RNAcentral describes it as "lncRNA (ENSMODG00000041227.1)". The record is from RNAcentral. Lineage: Eukaryota; Metazoa; Chordata; Mammalia; Didelphimorphia; Didelphidae.